RNAcentral lists this ribosomal RNA (564 nucleotides) under uncultured archaeon. Its description in RNAcentral is "bacterial SSU rRNA". It matches the Rfam family "Archaeal small subunit ribosomal RNA", at positions 326 to 896 of the family's 1478-position model. The record is from RNAcentral.
CGGGGUGCAGCAGGCGCGAAAACUUUGCAAUACACGAAAGUGUGACAGGGUCAUCCCGAGUGCCGACCGCUGAGGUUGGCUUUUACCCAGUCUAGAAAGCUGGGGGAAUAAGGAGAGGGCAAGUCUGGUGUCAGCCGCCGCGGUAAUACCAGCUCUCCGAGUGGUGUGGACGUUUAUUGGGCCUAAAGCAUCCGUAGCUGGCUGAACAAGUCCCCUGUUAAACCCACCGAUUUAAUCGUUGGUCUGCGGGGGAUACUGCUCGGCUAGGGGACGAGAGAGGCAGACGGUAUUCCCGGGGUAGGGGUGAAAUCCUAUAAUCCCGAGAAGACCACCAGUGGCGAAGGCUGUCUGCUAGAACGCGCCCGACGGUGAGGGAUGAAAGCUGGGGGAGCGAACCGGAUUAGAUACCCGGGUAGUCCCAGCUGUAAACGAUGCAGACUAGGUGUUUGGACGGCCACGUGCCGUUCUAGUGCCGCAGGGAAGCUGUUAAGUCUGCCGCCUGGGGAGUACGAUCGCAAGAUUGAACCUUAAAGGAAUUGGCGGGGGAGCACAAGGGCGAAUCGC